RNAcentral lists this microRNA precursor (267 nucleotides) under Phaeodactylum tricornutum. RNAcentral describes it as "miR5479 stem-loop (pti-MIR5479)". Lineage: Eukaryota; Bacillariophyta; Bacillariophyceae; Surirellales; Neidiaceae. The record is from miRBase by way of RNAcentral.
CUGGGCACCCGACGAUGAUUAAGAUUGGAAAGAGGCCUUCUCUAUACACCGACCAUCCAGAUUAUGAGACGACGCAUCAAUCAACUCAAUCUUCAGGAUACGAACAGCUACCCACUCCCCGUCGUUCCCUGCCUGGGAACGUUCGGUCGCACGCAACGAUACCCUGUUCCCGUCGAGUUGAUUUGUACGUGUUUGUAUCGCUUCAAAAGCCUUCCUGGGGUGUCCUGAUGACAAUCUUUCGUCUUGUUACGUUGUUUUGGUGCGCUC